RNAcentral lists this non-coding RNA (27 nucleotides) under Cricetulus griseus (Chinese hamster). The record is from RNAcentral. Lineage: Eukaryota; Metazoa; Chordata; Mammalia; Rodentia; Cricetidae.
UGGUUGGCUUUGAUGCUGUGAUGCGGG